Regulatory RNA element from Strongyloides venezuelensis, 113 nucleotides. It matches the Rfam family "Potassium channel RNA editing signal". Rfam says of the family: This family represents a group of sequences related to the human potassium channel Kv1.1 hairpin element which directs the efficient modification of an adenosine to inosine by an adenosine deaminase acting on RNA (ADAR). The ADAR modification causes an isoleucine/valine recoding event which lies in the ion-conducting pore of the potassium channel. NCBI's taxonomy places the organism in Eukaryota, Metazoa, Nematoda, Chromadorea, Rhabditida, Strongyloididae. The record is from Rfam.
AUAGAUACGGUGAUAUGUCCCCUCAAACAACAAUAGGGAGAAUUGUUGGUAGUUUAUGUGCUGUAAUGGGAGUCUUAACUAUUGCAUUACCUGUACCAGUUAUUGUUUCCAAU